RNAcentral lists this long non-coding RNA (3654 nucleotides) under Canis lupus familiaris (dog). Its description in RNAcentral is "lncRNA (ENSCAFG00000056100.1)". The record is from RNAcentral. Lineage: Eukaryota; Metazoa; Chordata; Mammalia; Carnivora; Canidae.
GCCCGGGCCAAGGGCCGACCGGCCGGAUCCCGCCCGCGGCGAGGAGCGAGUCCUCCUCCGGUCCUCGGCCCCUCGGGGUCUUUCCAGGGGGGCUAGAAGGGUGGGCAGAGGGCCGGCCUGGGGUCAGGGACCCAGCUAGAGUGCGGCAGGUGGGGAGUGCGGCGGCUCAGGCCGGCGAGUGGAGUGGGGGGUAGGGGUCACCUGUGGGGAGGAGGGGGCGCGCACGGGCGGGGGAGCAGGGUGACACUCAGCCCGCCCUGCAUCCCUGAGCUGGGGGUGCUGCGCCGACCUCCCUUCCCUGGCUAGGCCGAGUGACUUGAGCCUGCAUAACUUUUAUUUUUGAAGGGAGUGGACAUAUCCUGGGCCAUACAGUCCCCGAAUGGGGACAGCUCCAGUGUGCGUCCGCGGGGUUUGAGUGUGGGGCUGAGUUCAGCCAGGGUCAAAUAACAAACACCCCCGCUGUUCGGUGGAGCCCUCGUGCGUUUGGUGUUGUGCCCAAGAUUGCGGAUCUGAGAAACCGCCAAGGAGCCGACACCGAUGCAAACACACGAGGGUUUAUUUACAAGCUCGAGCUUGGGUCCAAGUGUACCCGACACAGCGGAGCAGAGACUUGGAGCCCGAAGUGGGUUACAGCUGGGUUUUUUAUAGGCUGGUCUAGGGGAUUUUCAGAAGGGGUGGAGGAAUUUCUCAAGUUCUGUUUACAUUCUGGUAUGGGGCUUAAGAGCAUUGAGCUCUGUUCUCAUUCUAAUAUGGGACUUUCUACCGGGGUGGGCUCUGUUGUCUUUCUGAUAUGGGAUUCUCUGCCGAGGGCAAUUCUGAGCUCUGUUGUCUUUCUGAUAUGGGAUUACCUGCCCUGCCGAGGACAUUGAGGACAUUCUGCAGUUUUUCCCAUAAAGUUCAGUCUUAUUCACAGGGACCUAAGAUGGCCGUACUUGUGCUAAUGCUAAACUUUAGGUGGGAUGGCCUUAAUCUUUCUCGACCUCCACAUUUGGCUCAGGAGGUAUUUACUUGGGUCCUGCAACUAGGCCUGGUUGUGGAAACCCAGGACUGAUUGUGAAUGUCAGGUUUUGGGUUGUUGCUUUUGGUGGGACUUACUCUUUGGGGCCCAUCAUUUGGAGUGUGUGGUGUUAAGUUUUUUAGUAACUAGGUGGAAAUGAGACCGCCAAGGCAAGCGAGGGUCCAAGAACAGAUUUUAUUGCAGGCACCCUCGGGCGAGGUUCCACGACUCACGGGGGAAAGAGAGUGAGUCGAGGAAGUCGCGCCAAGACAAGGUGGUAGGGGGUUUACAGAACGUUGUAAGGCAGAACGGUUUCCUAUUGGUUGGCUCAUAUGCAAAGGAAGGAUUGCAAUCCAACCAGUCAGAGUGAUCCUCACUAUGCAAAGGAAGGAUUGCAAUUCGACCAGUCAAAGGUGACUUCCUCCUCUGGGGUUUGAAGGGCAUUGGGUUCGGUUGGGGAAGUCCAAAGGAGAGGUGUAAGGGUCUGCUCAAGCUGUCAGCAGGUCAUUGGUCCAUUGGCGUCCCAAGUGGAGGUGGUGACAGGAACCUCAGCCAUUUUGGCGUAUCCGCCAUCUUGAGGAGUUUCCCUUCCCGCCUGGCCCCAACAUGUGGAACAUCCAACACGCAUUGAUUUGUUGGGGUUGGGUGGGUGGAGAUGAGCUUGCUGUGUUUGAAAUAUACUUGGUUUGGGGGUCAGUGUUUGGAGUCCCUGGGGGUUUUGGGGGAGUAGGAGAAGUUUUGGCCUGGGACAAACAUCCUAUAGUGAUGGUGGACUGAACUAGUGGGGCUUGCAUCUAAGCAGUUUUUUGAGUGGGGGUAGGUCUGCUUCUCUGGGACCUGUUGUCUCAGGUUUGUCUUGGCAUUUUGCUUUGUGGCAAAGAUUUUGGAGUUUGGUUGUCAUGUGAGUGGCCAGUUUGGCUUAUUCCCCCUUUUCUGAUUUUCCUUUGUGUGUUGUGGGUCAAACCUCUGGCCUGGGACUUAGUGGAGUUCAGUAGGACGGGGACCUUUGACUUUGACUUUGCUGACUCUUGGAUUCAUUUCUGGCAUCUGAUUGGGUCCAGGAAUCAGGGCUUUACUUUUAGUUUUAGUUUUUUGUAAGGACAAAUUGUAAGCCUACCAGUAGAGUAGUACAAUGAACCCCCAUGGACCUAUCAUAUAUUCAACAUUUAUUUAUUUAUUUUUAAAGAUUUUGUUUAUUCAUGAGAGACACAGAGAGGCAGAGACCUAGGCAGAGGGAGAAACAGGCUCCCUGUGGGGAGCCCAAUGCAGGACUAGAGUCCCAGGACCCUGGGAUCACGACCUGAGCCAAGAUCAACCACUGAGCCACGCAGGAGCCCCUAUAUUCAACAUUAAUAAAUGGGCAGCCAAUCUUGUUCCAUAUACAUCCCCUCAAUGCUAUGUGUGGAUACACUUAGUUGUUACAGGGCUUGACCACUACUGACAUUACCACUGUUGCAAAUGGCUUGGCACUGUACAGCUAGAGUUCAAAUCUAGGAACUUUCUAGCUUUGUCAGCUUGAGCAAGAUUUAUAACUGCCUCAGUUUAUCAUAAGACCUAGCCUAUGGGGUCUUCAAGAGGUAAAAUUUGUACAGUGCCUGGAAUUGUGUCUGGCAUACAGUAAGAGUUUAGUAAAUGUUAACUGUUCCUAAUAAUAUUACAACUUGAAGCCCAGAGGCAUUAAAAACGAUCAAUUCUCUAUUUAAUUUUUUUUUUUUAGAUUUUAUUUAUUUAUUCAUGAGAGACACACAGAGAGAGGCAGAGACACAGGCAGAGAGAGAAGCAGGUUCCAUGCAGGGAGCCUGACGUGAGACUUGAUUCCAGGACUCCAGGAUCACGCCCUGAGCCAAACGCAGAUGCGCAACCGCUGAACCACCCAGGUGUCCCUCAAUUCCCUAUUUAAUAGGAACAUGUCAGGGUAGGUUGUACUCUAAUGCCCACACCUGAUUUUGUCCGUUAGAAGCUGUCUACAUUCUUCUUUGAGGGAUCUGAAGCUUUCUUUUUCUUUUUCCUUCAAAGGAAGGGGAGCACCCCUCCUUUAAACUUGGGGAUUUCUAGCCUGGUAUCUGGGGGCCAGGAGAUAGUCCUGAAGCUCACAGUACCUCUUUCAUCCUCACCACCUGCUUAUAUCCCUGCUUGCCCAGAGAGGAGUGGGUGGAGAAAGAGAAGACUUCUGGACUCCUGGAGCCCACUUUUGGGUGUGGACCACUGACCUUGUGCAUUCCUACAGUGCUUUCUGAGUUCCAAACCAUGGGCGAAGUUCCUUUGCUUUUUCUGACAUCUUGUGUCCUGCAGUGUCCUAUUUGAGACACAGAGACCUUGUUUAUUUCUCUAGGAUCCCAGGGCAGAUUAAGGUCAGGGGCCUUUACAGAGAAUAUUACUCCAGACCAGGUUGCCACCAUCCUUCCCCCAGCAACUUUUCUCUAUAAGUUUAUUCCUAUACAUCUGUGUUCUUGAUGCUUUUGGAAAUGCUUUUUUAAAUGUAAGUUUCGGGAUCCCUGGGUGGCGCAGCGGUUUGGCGCCUGCCUUUGGCUCAGGGCGCGAUCCUGGAGACUGGGGAUCAAAUCCCACGUCGGGCUCCCGGUGCAUGGAGCCUGCUUCUCCCUCUGCCUGUGUCUCUGCCUCUCUCUCUCUGUGUGACUAUCAUAAAUAAAUAAAAA